This 377-nucleotide long non-coding RNA is filed under the name Lepisosteus oculatus (spotted gar). RNAcentral describes it as "lncRNA (ENSLOCG00000022928.1)". The record is from RNAcentral. Lineage: Eukaryota; Metazoa; Chordata; Actinopteri; Semionotiformes; Lepisosteidae.
GAGAAAAUGAUGAAUGUGCCAGUACUAUUGAUCACAGUGCUUUUUUGGUGAUUGAAGCAUUGGCUGCUGGAGCUAUUGAUCUUGGAGCAGGGCUAGCUGAAACUGAGGAGAAUAUGUAGAAUUGUUGAGGACAAUAAAUUACAAGAACAUGAAGAUGUGAAUCUGCAGGAGGUCAGAUGCAAGCCAACAGUGGUGUCUGAGGUUUCAAACUUGUGUUCAUUACAAAAAUCAGAAAUACUUUUUGACACACUUUUAUAAAAUACACCAGCAAAUAUUCAUAAGAAAAGGAAAGGUUAAUGAAUUUAGUAUAAAAUGACAAACAUGGGAUUGGUAAAGAAAUAGAAACGGUAAUCCAAUUGUGUGAAUUAAGUUUGUGG